AGGAUAAACGCUGGCGGCGUGCCUAACACAUGCAAGUCGAACGUCCUACGCAAGUAGGGAGUGGCGGACGGGUGAGUAACACGUGGGCAAUCUACCUUUCGGUGAGGAAUACCGGCGAGAAAUCGCCGACAAAUACCGCAUACGCUUCGCAAGAAGCAAAGUCGCAAGACGCCGGAGGAGGAGCCUGCGCCCGAUUAGCUGGUUGGUGAGGUAAGAGCUCACCAAGGCGACGAUCGGUAGC
RNAcentral lists this ribosomal RNA (241 nucleotides) under uncultured bacterium. RNAcentral describes it as "partial small subunit ribosomal RNA". It matches the Rfam family "Bacterial small subunit ribosomal RNA", at positions 26 to 287 of the family's 1533-position model. The record is from RNAcentral.